This 208-nucleotide ribosomal RNA is filed under the name uncultured bacterium. RNAcentral describes it as "partial 16S ribosomal RNA". It matches the Rfam family "Bacterial small subunit ribosomal RNA", at positions 567 to 774 of the family's 1533-position model. The record is from RNAcentral.
GUGUGUAGGCGGCCUAUCAAGAUAGCGGUGAAAUGCCGGGGCUUAACCUCGGAACUGCCAUUAUUACUGGUAGGCUAGAAUGACAGAGAGGAUAUUGGAAUACCCAGUGUAGAGGUGAAAUUCGUAGAUAUUGGGUAGAACACCGGUGGCGAAGGCGAGUAUCUGGCUGUAAAUUGACGCUGAGGCACGAAAGCAUGGGGAUCAAACA